GACGUAGGGCGCGAGCGUUGUCCGGAAUUAUUGGGCGUAAAGAGCUCGUAGGCGGUCUGUCGCGUCGGCUGUGAAAACUCGGGGCUCAACCCCGAGCCUGCAGUCGAUACGGGCAGACUAGAGUGCUGUAGGGGAGACUGGAAUUCCCGGUGUAGCGGUGAAAUGCGCAGAUAUCGGGAGGAACACCGGUGGCGAAGGCGGUUCUCUGGGCCUGACCUGACGCUGAGGAGCGAAAGCGUGGGGAGCGAACAGG
This 253-nucleotide ribosomal RNA is filed under the name uncultured bacterium. Its description in RNAcentral is "partial 16S ribosomal RNA". It matches the Rfam family "Bacterial small subunit ribosomal RNA", at positions 524 to 776 of the family's 1533-position model. The record is from RNAcentral.